AGAGAGAGACAUGCGCGCAUAUCAAUAAGCGGAGGAAAAGGAACUAACAAGGAUUCCCCUAGUAACGGCGAGUGAAGCGGGAAGAGCUCAAAUUUGAAAUCUUCAAGGGUUCUACCUUGACGAAUUGUAGUUUAAAGAAGUGUUUUCUGUUGAGGUUUUGGUAAAAGUUCUUUGGAAUAGGACAUCAUAGAGGGUGAGAAUCCCGUAUUUGACCUUUACUUUCAACUUUGUGAUACACUUUCAAAGAGUCGGAUUGUUUGGGAAUGCAGUCCAAAAUGGGUGGUAAAUUUCAUCUAAAGCUAAAUAUUGGCGAGAGACCGAUAGCGAACAAGUACCGUGAGGGAAAGAUGAAAAGAACUUUGAAAAGAGAGUUAAACAGUACGUGAAAUUGUCAAAAGGGAAGCGUUUGACACCAGUGUUGUUUUUCUGAAAAUCAAUUAAAGAACUGUUUAUGCUAAGUUGUUUAGACUUUAUCAGCUAACUGUUUAGUUUUGAGCUUUUCUUUAAUGCACUUUUCAGUUAACAAGUCAACAUCAAUUUCUUUUGCUGUAAAAAAGCUUGAGGAAGGUGGCUUGAGAUUCGUCUUAAGUGUUUAUAGCCUCUUGCCUAUGCAGUCGGAGAGAUUGAGGUCUGCAGCGUAGAUCCUUCGGGGCUAAAUGCAUUUGUGCUAAGUUAUAGCAUUUUAUAGACAACUUGUUGACUAUGAUUUGUCUUGUAGCUUACUCGCUUAUGUUAUUUUACCUACGCUUAGGAUGUUGAGCGCAUGUCUCUCUCU
This 775-nucleotide ribosomal RNA is filed under the name uncultured Neocallimastigales. RNAcentral's name for it is "partial large subunit ribosomal RNA". It matches the Rfam family "Eukaryotic large subunit ribosomal RNA", at positions 23 to 616 of the family's 3401-position model. Lineage: Eukaryota; Fungi; Neocallimastigomycota; Neocallimastigomycetes; Neocallimastigales. The record is from RNAcentral.